UAUUAGCUCAGCUGGUUAGAGCGCACCCCUGAUAAGGGUGAGGUCUCUGGUUCAAGUCCAG
This 61-nucleotide transfer RNA is filed under the name Madagascaria erythrocladioides. It matches the Rfam family "tRNA", at positions 8 to 62 of the family's 71-position model. Rfam says of the family: Transfer RNA (tRNA) molecules are approximately 80 nucleotides in length. Lineage: Eukaryota; Rhodophyta; Compsopogonophyceae; Erythropeltidales; Erythrotrichiaceae. The record is from RNAcentral.